CAAAUCAUCAAGUUGCUGAGGACAAUCAUUUAACGCCUGUUUUAUAUCCAUUUCCAUCAAGUGAUAUUGUUGGCAUACUAAAUAGGCUUCAGCCCGAGCAAACAAGAUAUUUGACCAGAAAAUUCGAUUAUAAUUAGAACCAACAGCAGAGUGGAAAACUUCUAGGGCUUUAGUGAAGUGAUUAAUUGCCAAAUAAGGUUCACCUUGACUUCGGGCUAACCGUCCAUAUUGAAAGGCCGCUGCAACUAUGUCCAUCUCUUAAAUAUUUGCC
Non-coding RNA from Paramuricea clavata, 271 nucleotides. Lineage: Eukaryota; Metazoa; Cnidaria; Anthozoa; Malacalcyonacea; Plexauridae. The record is from the annotation of a GenBank genome assembly.